This 445-nucleotide ribosomal RNA is filed under the name Burkholderiaceae bacterium. Its description in RNAcentral is "partial 23S ribosomal RNA". It matches the Rfam family "Bacterial large subunit ribosomal RNA", at positions 2485 to 2925 of the family's 2925-position model. The record is from RNAcentral. Lineage: Bacteria; Pseudomonadati; Pseudomonadota; Betaproteobacteria; Burkholderiales; Burkholderiaceae.
AUCUCCCCCAAGAGUUCAUAUCGACGGGGAGGUUUGGCACCUCGAUGUCGGCUCAUCACAUCCUGGGGCUGUAGCCGGUCCCAAGGGUAUGGCUGUUCGCCAUUUAAAGUGGUACGUGAGCUGGGUUUAAAACGUCGUGAGACAGUUUGGUCCCUAUCUACCGUGGGCGUUGGAAGUUUGAGAGGGGCUGCUCCUAGUACGAGAGGACCGGAGUGGACGCACCUCUGGUGUACCGGUUGUCACGCCAGUGGCAUCGCCGGGUAGCUAUGUGCGGAAGAGAUAACCGCUGAAAGCAUCUAAGCGGGAAACUUGCCUGAAGAUUAGUCUUCCCGGAGGCUUGACCUCCCUUAAGGGUCGUCCAAGACCAGGACGUUGAUAGGUCGGGUGUGGAAGCGCGGUAACGCGUUAAGCUAACCGAUACUAAUUGCCCGUGAGGCUUGAUCCU